Molecule: transfer RNA, 62 nt
Filed under: Citrobacter freundii
Lineage: Bacteria; Pseudomonadati; Pseudomonadota; Gammaproteobacteria; Enterobacterales; Enterobacteriaceae
Also listed under: 1 other name
Description: tRNA-Val
Rfam family: tRNA
About the family: Transfer RNA (tRNA) molecules are approximately 80 nucleotides in length.
Source: RNAcentral
AUUAGCUCAGCUGGGAGAGCACCUCCCUUACAAGGAGGGGGUCGGCGGUUCGAACCCGUCAU